Molecule: long non-coding RNA, 1509 nt
Filed under: Malus domestica (apple)
Lineage: Eukaryota; Viridiplantae; Streptophyta; Magnoliopsida; Rosales; Rosaceae
Description: long non-coding RNA (MDOM_LNC012171)
Source: RNAcentral
GCAAACAUGCCCAACCUUUACUCACAUUCGAGAAAACACUCCCAAUAAGAUUGCUUGCUCCAAAAUCGAAGAGGCACCGUCCUCCGAAUCUCGAGAGCCAGACUCCCAACACGACUACUUUCUUUAAAAAUCGAAGAGAGGGUAAAGGAACAGUACCAUUGCUGGAUAAUUGGAAAGUCCCUGUGUGUCAACCUCUGUGCUUCGUGGCAAGGUAGACUAGCAAACAUGCCAAACCUUUACUCACAUUCGAGAAAACACUCCCAACAAGAUUGCUUGCUCCAAAAUCGAAGAGGCACCGCCCUCCGAAUCUCGAGAGCCAGACUCCCAACAUGAUUACUUUCUCAAAAAUCGAAGAGACACUGCUCCCCGAAUCUCGAGAGCCAGACCCCCAGCAUGAUUGCUUUCUCAAAAAUCGAUGAGGCAUCGUUCUCCGAAUCAAUCGAAGAGGCGCUCGCUUUCUCAAAAGCUGGGCUGCUCAGAGACCACGAGGGCCGAUCUCAGAAAUCGAAGAGGCACCUACUUUUCUAGCCUUGUCAGCACCUGUCACACGCACACUCAGCUUUGCAGAAAUUAUGGGCAUUCUGUCGAAGACUUCUGGUGAAGUAGAAAGCACAUGAAUCUUACUGUUCAAUCACCCACUUCCCACACGCAACAAUAGCUCAUGGGUACCACAAAUAACUUUGCCAAAGUUCUCUGCCAAAGUUCUCUGCCAAAGUUGAGCACGUGAAGCUUGCAGCUCCCACUACAUCGCUCUGACCAAGAAAGGUAAAAGAAUAGCAAAGAAACAGCACUAACAAAAGUUUAGACACAUAAAUUUUGAAGGUCUAGCUACCAUAUUAUUACCCACAACUGUAAAGGAACAGUACCACUGCUGGAUAAUUGGAAAGUCCCUGUGUGUCAACCUCUGUGCUUCGUGGCAAGGUAGACUAGCAAACAUGCCCAACCUUUACUCACAUUCGAGAAAACACUCCCAAUAAGAUUGCUUGCUCCAAAAUCGAAGAGGCACCGUCCUCCGAAUCUCGAGAGCCAGACUCCCAACAUGACUACUUUCUCAAAAUCGAAGAGAGGGUAAAGGAACAGUACCAUUGCUGGAUAAUUGGAAAGUCCCUGUGUGUCAACCUUUGUGCUUCGUGGCAAGGUAGACUAGCAAACAUGCCCCAACCUUUACUCACAUUCGAGACAACACUCCCAACAAGAUUGCUUGCUCCAAAAUCGAAGAGGCACCGCCCUUCGAAUCUCGAGAGCCAGACUCCCAACAUGAUUACUUCCUCAAAAAUCGAAGAGACACUGCUCUCCGAAUCUCGAGAGUCAUACCCCCAACAUGAUUGCUUUCUCAAAAAUCGAAGAGGCAUCGUUCUCCGAAUCUCGAGAGCCAGAUACCACAGACCACUUUUUCAAAGUGCUCUGACAGAGUUAAAACAUGUGAAACUGGCAGCUCCCACUACCGUGCUAUGACCAAGCAGGGUAAAGGAAUAGCAUUACUACUUGUUGUUAGGGAGACUCCUAUAU